UGGCGCGACCGAUGAGAGUACGUGAGCGGCGCGUGCAGCGGUCACGGUAGCACGUGCGUCGCCUUUGAAUCUCCGUUAAGACGGUCCUCUUUCCUUCCGGGAUGCGCUGCAGGCGUCCCGCGUGCAGGGCACGUGCCCGGCUGCUCCCGUGUGCGCGCUGCGCGCUCCCUUCUGGGAACAGAGCGGCAGCUGCAGAGGUGUGGAAGGAUCCAUUAUUUCUCCAGAUCCCAAGGUCUGGCACAUGAGGGCCCUAAUGAGUUGGACUCUGCACUUGUGCCCUGAACACUUGAAGUGAAGGCCCUGGAGAUUACCUGUUUGUCUUCAGCAGAAGGCAGCUUGGGAGGGAUGUCUUCAGGUAAAGCUUGGAGGCAUCUCCCUGAUACAUUUACUCUGCAAAAUUACUGGGGCAGCUGGUAGUAUAGUUAAUUGUUGCUAUUGGCUCCAAAGGUCACGGCAUUCAAAUCCCACCUACCUUUAUACUAAAGUCAAAUUGUCAGCAGUUAUCCAAAGUUGAAACUAUAACUUGACUCGUAACAAGAGGAUGAUCCUGAAUCUCUGGAUUUUAAGCAUGUAUGGAGAGCAAGAACCACAGGAAGAUGAAGCAUCACAUUUCUGGAUUUGUAGGAUACACUGCCUCAACACUGUUUAUAAUCCAUCUAAACAUCUUACCUGUGCCAAGUGAUUUUUUUUCCAGUUAACUUGAAUAUGUACUUAGCAGUAUUCUACAUUACAGGAAAGUAGAUAUGGAUAACUUUUUGUAACUUAUUUUUGAAUUUGUACUAAUGAGGGUGCACCCCUCUGAAUUCAUGUCUGGAGCCAGAUGUAAUGGCAAUAGUAGCACCUGUUCUAGCAAAUAUUUCAUGGAUGAUUAUCUUGAAGGUAGAUGUCAUUUUAUUAAACCACACACUUGCUGCAGGGUUGCCACUCCCAAAUCUAGUGUAAGCAUGGUAACACCAAAUAAAUUGGACAGGUCCAAUUAUAAAAGCUAAAGUAUAACUUUAUAAGCAAUGCUGGUUCUAAACCCAGGGAGAGAAGUGCUUUGUAGUAUUAAAUAUUGGCUUAUGUUCAUUGGACUAUGAAGUCAAAGCUAUACAUUAUUGUAAUUCAUGUAGCGACAGCUGUUUGACCAUGACUGAGAAGGCAGAAUGCAGUCUCCACCAGUUACAGGUUCUCUAAAUAGUAUGAAUAAAAAUGGCAGUUAGACAUGCACCUUGGUGUGGUCCUGCUCCCUAAAGGAGUUGCAUUGAAGUGACUUGCUAUCUAAUCUGCCAAAAUACUGUAGAUUAAUUUGCUGUUGAGAAAGCACUUGCAGUGCUUUCUCAUAUUCAACCCUAUUCUAGGAGAUGUAUAGCUCAUCUGUAACUUGUAGAUGGACACUGGGAGCUUAUGAAAUUUAAGGUAUGUAAUUCAGAAAGGAGUCCAGGCACUCCAAAAUGUUCUGGGUUAUGUUGCUAUUACAUCUUGUAGCAGGAAAAUGUUACCACUUUAGUCAUCCACAUAUGGUAUAUAGAGGGAACUUAUGGGGGAAAACUAACAAAGUUCCUUGUAAAGUAUCCAAUCAGUGUUGCAUCUUUUCAUAGAGAAAAAGUUUAGGAGGAAGAUUUUGUUACAAUUUUCUAACUUUUAGCUAAAGGAUUAAUGGUUAACUGAACAUCAUGAGAGUAAUGUGUUCCUGUUGCAUUCCCAGAAUAUAUGUAUCAAAAUGCAUUACAUAUUUUAUAAUGGGCAAAUGUAGCUUUAUACUGAAGGGCUUUUGAGUAACUGAAUGUUCUACUAAACUGGCAACCUGCCACAGUGAGAGUGUCAGUGGAAAUAUCCUGUGAAGAGUUCAUUUACAUUUUGAAUGCACUGUUGAGUGGCAUUUUUUUUGCAUUUCUCAGUAUUUAAGAAUCCUUAAUAUAGUCAUAAUUGACAUCUAAGGAGA
This is a long non-coding RNA of Scleropages formosus (Asian bonytongue), 1924 nucleotides long. RefSeq lists it as uncharacterized. Lineage: Eukaryota; Metazoa; Chordata; Actinopteri; Osteoglossiformes; Osteoglossidae. The transcript is spliced from 9 exons. The record is from RefSeq and is a predicted model, not a curated record.